Molecule: ribosomal RNA, 2070 nt
Filed under: Triticum aestivum (bread wheat)
Lineage: Eukaryota; Viridiplantae; Streptophyta; Magnoliopsida; Poales; Poaceae
Description: partial small subunit ribosomal RNA
Source: RNAcentral
AUGGCUAUGGGCACCGCGCAGCUCCUCCUCCUCCUCCUCGCUUGCUUACACUGUCCUCUUGCUGCCGCAGUUGCUCCGCCGCCAUUCUCGUUCAGCUUCGACUUCACCAACACAUCCAGCUACCGCCAAGAUGACCUCAAGUUCGAGGGCAACGCAACUGUGCACGGCAACCUGGUCGACCUCACCUGCAACUCGUUCGGGAAGGACUCGAAAGAUUGCGUGGGACGGGUGUCGUACGCGCACCGAGUGCCGUUCUACGACAACCUCACCGGCGAGGUAGCCAGCUUCCAAACGCGCUUCACCUUCGUCAUCAUGUUGGACAACAAUACCAUGAACUACAAGGGUGAUGGCAUGGCUUUCUUCCUCGCCUAUUACCCAUCAACCAUGCCGGCGACCUCUGGUGGGGGCAACCUCGGCCUCAUGUCCCAAGUCGACGGCAAGAGGACCACCUUCGGCAAAGACCAGUUCAUCGCUGUGGAGUUCGACACCUACAACAACUCCUACGACCCCAGCACCACCUUCGACCACAUCGGCAUCGACAUCAACUCUGUCAUGGAUUCGGUGAACACAACAAGAUUGCCCAACUUCAGCCUCAACGGUUCCAUGACCGCCACCGUCACCUUUGACAACACUAGCCGGAUGCUGAUCGCCGACCUGCGGUUUGAUGACAAUGAUAACUAUCGUCCCGUUCAGGUUAGCACGCAGUUACCCCAUCCGGUCACCACCUUGCUCCCGGAUCAAGUUGCCGUAGGGUUUUCUGCAGCCACCGGCUCGGGCAUGGAGCUGCAUCAGUUACUCUCGUGGUCAUUCAACUCCACGCUUGCUCCGCCCCGGAAAGAUCAUGACAAGAAGGCAGCGGUUGUUGGAUGGUUGAUUGGAGGAGCUAUGGCGUUGCUUGUGUUGUGGUGCAUCAUCUCGUAUUUCAAGUGGACAAGGAGCACAAGUCAAAACUUUCUGGCUCCAAGUGGAGGAGCCAGACAGCUCGAGUACCGUGUUCUGGCUGCUGCAACGGAUGACUUCUCUGAGGAGCGGGUUAUUGGGCAAGGUGCCUUUGGAGUAGUCUACAGGGGCACCUUCUUCAAGGUACCAUCAUCAGGUGCGCCCUCGAGAGAAUCCGAUGGUCCGUCCUCCACGGAAUCUUGUGCGUCUUCAAACUCGAGCUCGAAGGAAUCCGCAGAUGACAUCGAGGUGGCUGUAAAGAAGAUCAAGAAUGGGACAAAGGGAGGAGACUUCUUGGCCGAGAUGAACACCAUUAGUGAAGCCAAGCACAAGAAUCUCGUGAAACUGAAAGGUUGGUGCUGCAGGGAAAACAAUCGGAACUUGCUCGAUUUCAUGUGUUGGUGCUGCAGGGAGAAGAAGGAUGCCGAGCUCUUCCUGGUCUAUGAACUCGUGCCGAACGGUAAUCUGUACUACCACCUAAGCGAGAGUGAGCAAGUAAUAGCAUGGCCAACAAGGUACCAAAUUGUGAAAGACAUAGGCUCGGCCCUUGUUUACCUCCACCACGAGUGCGAACCUUACAUUCUGCACAGAGAUAUCAAACCAGGCAACAUACUCCUAGACAACAAAUUCAAUGCCAAGCUUGCUGACUUCGGGUUGUCGAGGAUCGGCAACCAGGAUAACAUGACUUUGAUGACAACCGCGAUAGGGACGGAAGGGUAUAUUGAUCCAGAAUGUAGGAAAGAUGGGAAAGUCAAGUUCUACCCUAAAUCCGAUGUCUACAGCUUUGGAAUCGUUCUGCUAGACAUUGUAUGCACAGGGAAGUCCAGGGAGCGAGUCUGGGAGUUGUACAUUAGAGGCAAGGUCAUGGAGGCUACAGAUGGAAGGCUUCAUGGCGGCGACGAUUUGGACAGGAGGCAAAUGAAGAGCGUGGCUGUCCUCGGACUCUGGUGUUCUCUUCCUGAUGGUGCCAAGAGGCCUACCGUUCGGAAAGCAAUGGAGGUCCUGGAACGUGAUGAGUCGUUGCCUGACCUUAACUACCGGGUGAACACUUCGGUACCCUCAGCCUCAGGACAUCAACACAUCGACACCAGUAGCUCUGACCAGCAGGCAUUUAUGUCAGAUGAAAGCUAG